GACGAACGCUGGCGGCGUGCUUAACACAUGCAAGUCGAACGGAAAGGCCCUGCUUUUGUGGGGUGCUCGAGUGGCGAACGGGUGAGUAACACGUGAGUAACCUGCCCUUGACUUUGGGAUAACUUCAGGAAACUGGGGCUAAUACCGGAUAGGAGCUCCUGCUGCAUGGUGGGGGUUGGAAAGUUUCGGCGGUUGGGGAUGGACUCGCGGCUUAUCAGCUUGUUGGUGGGGUAGUGGCUUACCAAGGCUUUGACGGGUAGCCGGCCUGGGAGGGUGACCGGCCACAUUGGGACUGAGGUACGGCCCAGACUCCUACGGGGGGCAGCAGUGGGGAAUAUUGCACAGUGGGCGGAAGCCUGAUGCAGCAGCGCCGCGUGCGGGAUGACGGCCUUCGGGUUGUAAACCGCUUUCGCCUGUGACGAAGCGUGAGUGACGGUAAUGGGUAAAGAAGCACCGGCUAACUACGUG
RNAcentral lists this ribosomal RNA (468 nucleotides) under uncultured bacterium. RNAcentral describes it as "partial 16S ribosomal RNA". It matches the Rfam family "Bacterial small subunit ribosomal RNA", at positions 28 to 507 of the family's 1533-position model. The record is from RNAcentral.